Long non-coding RNA from Nematostella vectensis (starlet sea anemone), 1518 nucleotides. RefSeq lists it as uncharacterized. The transcript is spliced from 2 exons. NCBI's taxonomy places the organism in Eukaryota, Metazoa, Cnidaria, Anthozoa, Actiniaria, Edwardsiidae. The record is from RefSeq and is a predicted model, not a curated record.
UGAGGACUUACCGCCGAUGCGUUUGAUUUUUUCAGCUGUCUACCUUGUUCGUUUCGUCUGUCUGAGGAAUCUGAGACCAGUGUCGUCUGAAUAUCAGAUUCAAGGAGUGGCUUGACGGAUGGCGAUAGUAAACCUGCACUGGUGAUAAGACGAGUAAACACGCAGGAACACCCGAACACAAGUUCAAACCCUUUAAACGGUGAUAGCGGAAAAGAAUCUACCAGAAAUUCUUCCCUGUAAUUUUCUAUUUAUCUCUUUUUCUAUCUGAAACUUCGAGCAUUUCUUUCAUUUUUCCUUUGUAUUUAUUUUGCUUAAUCUACCUAGAAACCGUCAGGGCAUCGUCACGCUAAGCUCUCUUUAUAGGAGAUCGGUUUUAUGACCGCUGUUUCUCCAUUACGCCAAGAAACAUCUUUCUACCCUCUCCCACCCCAACAACUAUUAAAAAAACAUGUUUGGGUAGUAUCCAUUUUUUGAGUAGAUAAAGCAAUUUUUCUUCUGAUCUCAGUUUUGGAAAAUUUCCCACAAUUUUUUAGAAUUUUGUCAAUAAUGAUUUUAGUCUAGAAUGUGCCAAAUUUCAGAAUUAUGCAUUUUUUUAACAGCAUGUUGAACUAUUUAUUUGAAAGAGCUUUCUCUGUGGUGUUUCACUGACAACACGCUAAGCCGAUUCGAGUCUGCGAAAGGAGAGAGCAAGUUAGCGGGGAUCUUGAUCUAGCUACCUUACCUAUGUUGUUUGUUUUCCUUACCUAUGAUGUUUGUUUACCUUACCUAUGUUGUUUGUUUACCUUACCUAUGUUGUUUGUUUUCCUUGCCUAUGAUGUUUGUUUACCUUACCUAUGUUUUUUGUUUACCUUGCCAAUGUUGUUUGUUUACCUUACCUAUCUUGUUUGUUUACCUUACCUUUGUUGUUUGUUUACCUUACCUUUGCUGGCAUGUCUGUUUAUCUUACCUUCUUAUCUUAUCUUAUCUUAGCUGCUUAACUACCAACAUUACCCAACCAAAAGCUUAAAAGUAUCCUCUCCAUCGUCCAUGUUUAUUCUGACCUCAUCCGAAAAGUGAAUCUCUCAAAACCUUUUUGUAACUUCUUUUCAGAGUUUUAUUAAAGCAAGACGCUGGUUAUUUCUUAGUCCGUUCGUAUUCGAAUAAUUGGCCCAUUAUCGCUCGACUGACAUUCGUAAGGAAAGAGAGCCCACCGAAAUAUGGAGAAAACAGGGAAUGUUUUUUUUUUUUUCAGGAUAUUUCGGUGUUUUAUUUGAAUUGGCAGCUUUUGGGCGAAUAAAACAGGUUUUAUUACAGUGCCCACCGCAAUAAUGGUCAUUAUUCACAAAUGACGUUUGUUGCAUCAAAUCAGACCUUUACAGCACUAGGUUGUGUGACGUCACUAGAAUGAGAGUCAUUUUUAUGGAACGAACCCUCUUUUGAAAAGCAUAUGUACUUGUGCGUGUUGUUUUUCAAGUCUGAUUGUAAAAGGUUUUUGUGUAAAUACAAGAACUAGCUAUUAAAUAAAUCGAACAAAACAUA